GCGGAACUUGUUCCGCAGAUUGACAAAGGCAAGCUUGAGGUGCUUGUGUCAGUAUUGGCGUGUGGGUUCAAGUCCCAUUUCCCGCACCA
Molecule: transfer RNA, 89 nt
Filed under: [Eubacterium] siraeum
Lineage: Bacteria; Bacillati; Bacillota; Clostridia; Eubacteriales; Oscillospiraceae
Also listed under: 3 other names
Description: tRNA-Leu
Source: RNAcentral